GACAGAGGGUGCAAGCGUUGUUCGGAAUUAUUGGGCGUAAAGCGCGCGUAGGCGGCGGCGUAAGUCGGAUGUGAAAGCCCAGGGCUCAACCGUGGAAGUGCAUCCGAUACUACGUUGCUUGAGUGCCGGAGAGGGUGGUGGAAUUCCCAGUGUAGAGGUGAAAUUCGUAGAUAUUGGGAGGAACACCUGUGGCGAAGGCGGCCACCUGGACGGACACUGACGCUGAGGUGCGAAAGCGUGGGGAG
This 245-nucleotide ribosomal RNA is filed under the name uncultured bacterium. RNAcentral describes it as "partial 16S ribosomal RNA". It matches the Rfam family "Bacterial small subunit ribosomal RNA", at positions 524 to 768 of the family's 1533-position model. The record is from RNAcentral.